GAGAAAAGAAGCCUCCUUCACUCUGGCCGAUCUGAAUCUCUUCGAUCUUCACCCAGACUGCCAGGCCUGGGAUAAAGCUGUGUAUCCCAGAGGUCGCCUCUUGUGCAUCUGGAGUCAAACACAGUGAGAGUGCACACCACCAUGAGAAACAACGCAGCAGUCAGAGAUGAAAUGGAAACUCAUGGAUCAGCAAACCAGAGGUUUUGGAACCAAAGACAGCUCCAGAACAUCUGAAGCAGGAAAACACAGUUAAGAUCAAGGUCAGCAACAACACAUGCAAUGGACACAGCUGUUCUCUGAACCACAGUUUGCCUAAGAUAAGAGACUUCCAUGCAACACUGAGCCUGUGAGAAAGACACGCUUUGAUGACACUUAUCUUUCAUCUUGAAAGAAGCCAGACCUGCAGGAAGGGAGACCUGGGAUGUGGGACCCUCUGCUGAUGAACAAACACCCUUUCAGACAGAAGCUGUGGGUACAGCUGACUUCCCACCAGUCUGCAGCUCCUGCGGCAAACAGAAAACCAGCACAUCGCAUCCCGAGCUACAGUGCGCCUCAGGGAAUCACCCUGCACCCUGGCAGUGGCCUGGGGGGGCAGCCCUGUGGUGAAAUCAGAGCUGACAGCAAGUUGAAACUUUUGGCAGAUGUUUCAUUUCCAUAACUAUCUGUGUGCCAUGCUGUUUCUCCUACUGUGAGCCCACAUAGUACCUGCUUGUCUGAUGACUGCAAUGAGAGAGUCUCAAUGAGGUGCCUUCCCUGUCUUCUGUGAUCACCCAUAUAUCACUGCUGGUAAUCACAGCCUCAUAUAUGGCAAGCUCACUUUCUGCUUCUUUAUCCAUAUAAGCAUAGUAGGGGUUUUCUUGCAGC
RNAcentral lists this long non-coding RNA (864 nucleotides) under Corvus moneduloides (New Caledonian crow). RNAcentral's name for it is "lncRNA (ENSCMUG00000008753.2)". The record is from RNAcentral. Lineage: Eukaryota; Metazoa; Chordata; Aves; Passeriformes; Corvidae.